UAGAGUAUAGUGAAAUCAGGUAGCACGAAGAAAUUUGAAUUCUUAUGAGUAGGUUCGAUUCCUAUUACUCUAG
RNAcentral lists this transfer RNA (73 nucleotides) under Mesechinus hughi miodon. Its description in RNAcentral is "tRNA-Gln". It matches the Rfam family "tRNA". From Rfam's summary of the family: Transfer RNA (tRNA) molecules are approximately 80 nucleotides in length. Their secondary structure includes four short double-helical elements and three loops (D, anti-codon, and T loops). Further hydrogen bonds mediate the characteristic L-shaped molecular structure. tRNAs have two regions of fundamental functional importance: the anti-codon, which is responsible for specific mRNA codon recognition, and the 3' end, to which the tRNAs corresponding amino acid is attached (by aminoacyl-tRNA synthetases). tRNAs cope with the degeneracy of the genetic code in two manners: having more than one tRNA (with a specific anti-codon) for a particular amino acid; and 'wobble' base-pairing, i.e. permitting non-standard base-pairing at the 3rd anti-codon position. Lineage: Eukaryota; Metazoa; Chordata; Mammalia; Eulipotyphla; Erinaceidae. The record is from RNAcentral.